Lathyrus oleraceus (garden pea) is the source of this 1791-nucleotide long non-coding RNA. RefSeq lists it as uncharacterized. The transcript is spliced from 4 exons. The record is from RefSeq and is a predicted model, not a curated record. Lineage: Eukaryota; Viridiplantae; Streptophyta; Magnoliopsida; Fabales; Fabaceae.
AAUAAAUAAAAGGGAAUAAAAAAAAGAAAAAGGAAAAAAACGCUGUAAACACACGAUGCUCUCAAUCUCUCUCAAAGCCCUCAAACUCGCACCUCUCUCUCUAUCGCGUCUCACUCUCUAUCGCAUCUCACUCUCUCUGAAUCGCAUCUCACUCUCUGCAAACAAACGUGGCUGAAAAGAGAGAGGAGUUCACCUCCGGUGACGACAACGACGAGCUCAGUAUCCCCUUUAUAUACCCAGCUUAUUAGGGUUUUCAAUUCAGCUUAUGGAGAUCAAAAUGGCAUGCUCUUGGGAGUGCUUUAAGGGGUUCAGAUUGUUUGCCUCAAAUCGGUACUCAAGCUGAAGAGUAAAUUCGGGUUGGAGGGUUCAUUGUCUUUGGUUGGGUCAAUGUAACUUCGAAUUUCAACGGCCUUUCCACCAACUUCAUUAGCAGAAACAGGAGGUAUAGAAGCAGGUUCGGUUGCAAUGAUAGUGAUUUCUUGAAGAGAUGACUGAAAAUUAGCAAGUAACCUGUUCAGAUCUCGAGGCCUCACGACAAAGUUGCUUGGAAAUUCUGCCUUUCGGAGCAUCCGGCUACGGUAAUUUCACUGUCAAAUGAUCAAUAUUUGCAAUAGGUGUCCUAAGAACAGCACAAACAGUCCUUCAGAAGUACGCUACAUUGCACGGGAACACUGGAAACCGUGUAUACGUCAAAGAAGCUAGGUUUGAAAUGUAUGGAUUGAUAUGCAGAACGUGAUGAAUUGAUAGUGUGAAAAAGAAGCUGAGAAGAAAAAGCUUGAACUGAGAGUUCAUUUCCAAUACGUGCGAGGCACGCGAUGCAUCGUGCAAAGGUUUUGAGAGAGUUAUCGCUCAACGUCAACUCCAUUUCUACGGUGUAGGAUCUCAUUCCCUUCUUGUGUUCAACAUUUGAUGGUUUUUAAUCAUAGCACCUUCCUCAUUCGAACAUCUUUCUCCAGGAAAAUGUUCCUUUGAUGAAUAUUCCGUAGCAGGUCUCAAUUUAUCACUUCUUAUGAAUAAGCCCAUUUUGAACUACUGCCAACAGCAACAUCUGCAGAAGACCGCCCAGGCCGUAUUUGCUCGCCACACGGUUUGAGGUCUGUCAAAUGACCGGAUUACGGAUUGGUUCAGGUCGGAGAGGUGGAUACCUUGGCGCCAGGAAGCUUCCCAUAUCAGACCCGUGACAGAUAAGCUGUGAUGCAGUUGCAAAGAGUGCGUAAUAGGCCAAGGGUUGCACUUGAAAACAUCGAGGAAUCCUUUCCAAAACCUCGUCUGCUGUCGCAUCAAAAUUCCAAUUGAGGGAGUUGGACUGAACUUACGCAUGAAGAUUCAAACAUAAGAGAAAUUCACUGAACCGCUGUUGACAGGAUUCGGCAACUUUUGGGUUCCUUCCCUGGAACCAACAUCAACAAUAACUGUGUAAAAAUUAAAUGAGGAACAUAGAAUUGACCCCUUACUUCUCACUGUGUUUUCUUUUAAGUGAUCCACUAACAGCAGCUUUAGCUUUUGCCCACUCUUCCAAUGAAGCGGCACUUCUCAUAAAUAGGCAAGUUUCUCCUAUUUCAACAUUUGCAAUGGAUCCUUCCCUUGAACUUGUUUCAACUGUUUUCUCAACAGACCUUCUUCUUUGUAAUUUUUCAGUAGCUCUUUUAUUUGUGUAUGAUGAAAAUUCGGAUGAAGGUUCAAUACCGUUAUUGCUAUAAUAUGAAAACUUGUCAGAAUCUUUGGAAGCUUGAAUUUUAGCAGUAAACAGGAUGCUCGUUUGUGGGUAAACACGCCUGAGCUGGCUUUGUA